RNAcentral lists this ribosomal RNA (1351 nucleotides) under Staphylococcus aureus. RNAcentral describes it as "bacterial SSU rRNA". It matches the Rfam family "Bacterial small subunit ribosomal RNA", at positions 202 to 1533 of the family's 1533-position model. Lineage: Bacteria; Bacillati; Bacillota; Bacilli; Caryophanales; Staphylococcaceae. The record is from RNAcentral.
AAAGACGGUCUUGCUGUCACUUAUAGAUGGAUCCGCGCUGCAUUAGCUAGUUGGUAAGGUAACGGCUUACCAAGGCAACGAUGCAUAGCCGACCUGAGAGGGUGAUCGGCCACACUGGAACUGAGACACGGUCCAGACUCCUACGGGAGGCAGCAGUAGGGAAUCUUCCGCAAUGGGCGAAAGCCUGACGGAGCAACGCCGCGUGAGUGAUGAAGGUCUUCGGAUCGUAAAACUCUGUUAUUAGGGAAGAACAUAUGUGUAAGUAACUGUGCACAUCUUGACGGUACCUAAUCAGAAAGCCACGGCUAACUACGUGCCAGCAGCCGCGGUAAUACGUAGGUGGCAAGCGUUAUCCGGAAUUAUUGGGCGUAAAGCGCGCGUAGGCGGUUUUUUAAGUCUGAUGUGAAAGCCCACGGCUCAACCGUGGAGGGUCAUUGGAAACUGGAAAACUUGAGUGCAGAAGAGGAAAGUGGAAUUCCAUGUGUAGCGGUGAAAUGCGCAGAGAUAUGGAGGAACACCAGUGGCGAAGGCGACUUUCUGGUCUGUAACUGACGCUGAUGUGCGAAAGCGUGGGGAUCAAACAGGAUUAGAUACCCUGGUAGUCCACGCCGUAAACGAUGAGUGCUAAGUGUUAGGGGGUUUCCGCCCCUUAGUGCUGCAGCUAACGCAUUAAGCACUCCGCCUGGGGAGUACGACCGCAAGGUUGAAACUCAAAGGAAUUGACGGGGACCCGCACAAGCGGUGGAGCAUGUGGUUUAAUUCGAAGCAACGCGAAGAACCUUACCAAAUCUUGACAUCCUUUGACAACUCUAGAGAUAGAGCCUUCCUCUUCGGGGGACAAAGUGACAGGUGGUGCAUGGUUGUCGUCAGCUCGUGUCGUGAGAUGUUGGGUUAAGUCCCGCAACGAGCGCAACCCUUAAGCUUAGUUGCCAUCAUUAAGUUGGGCACUCUAAGUUGACUGCCGGUGACAAACCGGAGGAAGGUGGGGAUGACGUCAAAUCAUCAUGCCCCUUAUGAUUUGGGCUACACACGUGCUACAAUGGACAAUACAAAGGGCAGCGAAACCGUGAGGUCAAGCAAAUCCCAUAAAGUUGUUCUCAGUUCGGAUUGUAGUCUGCAACUCGACUACAUGAAGCUGGAAUCGCUAGUAAUCGUAGAUCAGCAUGCUACGGUGAAUACGUUCCCGGGUCUUGUACACACCGCCCGUCACACCACGAGAGUUUGUAACACCCGAAGCCGGUGGAGUAACCUUUUAGGAGCUAGCCGUCGAAGGUGGGACAAAUGAUUGGGGUGAAGUCGUAACAAGGUAGCCGUAUCGGAAGGUGCGGCUGGGUCACCUCCUUUCUAAGGA